AUGAACGCUAGCGACAGGCUUAACACAUGCAAGUCGAGGGGCAGCACAGGUAGCAAUACCGGGUGGCGACCGGCGCACGGGUGAGUAACGCGUAUGCAACUUGCCUAUCAGAGGGGGAUAACCCGGCGAAAGUCGGACUAAUACCGCAUGAAGCAGGGAUCCCGCAUGGGAAUAUUUGCUAAAGAUUCAUCGCUGAUAGAUAGGCAUGCGUUCCAUUAGGCAGUUGGCGGGGUAACGGCCCACCAAACCGACGAUGGAUAGGGGUUCUGAGAGGAAGGUCCCCCACAUUGGUACUGAGACACGGACCAAACUCCUACGGGAGGCAGCAGUGAGGAAUAUUGGUCAAUGGCCGAGAGGCUGAACCAGCCAAGUCGCGUGAGGGAUGAAGGUUCUAUGGAUCGUAAACCUCUUUUAUAAGGGAAUAAAGUGCGGGACGUGUCCCGUUUUGUAUGUACCUUAUGAAUAAGGAUCGGCUAACUCCGUGCCAGCAGCCGCGGUAAUACGGAGGAUCCGAGCGUUAUCCGGAUUUAUUGGGUUUAAAGGGUGCGUAGGCGGCCUUUUAAGUCAGCGGUGAAAGUCUGUGGCUCAACCAUAGAAUUGCCGUUGAAACUGGGGGGCUUGAGUAUGUUUGAGGCAGGCGGAAUGCGUGGUGUAGCGGUGAAAUGCAUAGAUAUCACGCAGAACCCCGAUUGCGAAGGCAGCCUGCCAAGCCAUUACUGACGCUGAUGCACGAAAGCGUGGGGAUCAAACAGGAUUAGAUACCCUGGUAGUCCACGCAGUAAACGAUGAUCACUAGCUGUUUGCGAUACACUGUAAGCGGCACAGCGAAAGCGUUAAGUGAUCCACCUGGGGAGUACGCCGGCAACGGUGAAACUCAAAGGAAUUGACGGGGGCCCGCACAAGCGGAGGAACAUGUGGUUUAAUUCGAUGAUACGCGAGGAACCUUACCCGGGUUUGAACGCAUUCGGACCGAGGUGGAAACACCUUUUCUAGCAAUAGCCGUUUGCGAGGUGCUGCAUGGUUGUCGUCAGCUCGUGCCGUGAGGUGUCGGCUUAAGUGCCAUAACGAGCGCAACCCUUGCCACUAGUUACUAACAGGUAAAGCUGAGGACUCUGGUGGGACUGCCAGCGUAAGCUGCGAGGAAGGCGGGGAUGACGUCAAAUCAGCACGGCCCUUACAUCCGGGGCGACACACGUGUUACAAUGGCGUGGACAAAGGGAGGCCACCUGGCGACAGGGAGCGAAUCCCCAAACCACGUCUCAGUUCGGAUCGGAGUCUGCAACCCGACUCCGUGAAGCUGGAUUCGCUAGUAAUCGCGCAUCAGCCAUGGCGCGGUGAAUACGUUCCCGGGCCUUGUACACACCGCCCGUCAAGCCAUGGGAGCCGGGGGUACCUGAAGUCCGUAACCGAAAGGAUCGGCCUAGGGUAAAACUGGUGACUGGGGCUAAG
RNAcentral lists this ribosomal RNA (1449 nucleotides) under uncultured organism. RNAcentral describes it as "SSU rRNA". It matches the Rfam family "Bacterial small subunit ribosomal RNA". The record is from RNAcentral.